This 468-nucleotide ribosomal RNA is filed under the name uncultured bacterium. Its description in RNAcentral is "partial 16S ribosomal RNA". It matches the Rfam family "Bacterial small subunit ribosomal RNA", at positions 28 to 507 of the family's 1533-position model. The record is from RNAcentral.
GACGAACGCUGGCGGCGUGCUUAACACAUGCAAGUCGAACGGAAAGGCCCUGCUUUUGUGGGGUGCUCGAGUGGCGAACGGGUGAAUAACACGUGAGUAACCUGCCCUUGACUUUGGGAUAACUUCAGGAAACUGGGGCUAAUACCGGAUAGGAGCUCCUGCUGCAUGGUGGGGGUUGGAAAGUUUCGGCGGUUGGGGAUGGACUCGCGGCUUAUCAGCUUGUUGGUGGGGUAGUGGCUUACCAAGGCUUUGACGGGUAGCCGGCCUGAGAGGGUGACCGGCCAAAUUGGGACUGAGAUACGGCCCAGACUCCUACGGGAGGCAGCAGUGGGGAAUAUUGCACAAUGGGCGGAAGCCUGAUGCAGCAACGCCGCGUGCGGGAUGACGGCCUUCGGGUUGUAAACCGCUUUCGCCUGUGACGAAGCGUGAGUGACGGUAAUGGGUAAAGAAGCACCGGCUAACUACGUG